GGACCCGCACAAGCGGUGGAUGAUGUGGUUUAAUUCGAUGCAACGCGAAAACCUUACCUACCCUUGACAUGUCAGGAAUCCUUCAGAGAUGAGGGAGUGCUCGCAAGAGAACCUGAACACAGGUGCUGCAUGGCUGUCGUCAGCUCGUGUCGUGAGAUGUUGGGUUAAGUCCCGCAACGAGCGCAACCCUUGUCAUUAGUUGCUACGAAAGGGCACUCUAAUGAGACUGCCGGUGACAAACCGGAGGAAGGUGGGGAUGACGUCAAGUCCUCAUGGCCCUUAUGGGUAGGGCUACACACGUCAUACAAUGGCUGGUACAAAGGGCUGCCAACCCGCGAGGGGGAGCCAAUCCUAUAAAACCAGUCGUAGUCCGGAUUGCACUCUGCAACUCGAGUGCAUGAAGUCGGAAUCGCUAGUAAUCGUGGAUCAGCAUGUCACGGUGAAUACG
RNAcentral lists this ribosomal RNA (448 nucleotides) under uncultured Burkholderiales bacterium. RNAcentral's name for it is "bacterial SSU rRNA". It matches the Rfam family "Bacterial small subunit ribosomal RNA", at positions 917 to 1370 of the family's 1533-position model. Lineage: Bacteria; Pseudomonadati; Pseudomonadota; Betaproteobacteria; Burkholderiales. The record is from RNAcentral.